GGUUGUGCCCACAGGCACGACUGGUUUGGCAAUUCAGUAAAAAUGCUCAAACUGGCUGUGCCUGUGGACACAGCCCA
This 77-nucleotide microRNA precursor is filed under the name Pongo abelii (Sumatran orangutan). RNAcentral's name for it is "miRNA". The record is from RNAcentral. Lineage: Eukaryota; Metazoa; Chordata; Mammalia; Primates; Hominidae.